This 2369-nucleotide long non-coding RNA is filed under the name Equus asinus (donkey). RNAcentral's name for it is "lncRNA (ENSEASG00005035761.1)". The record is from RNAcentral. Lineage: Eukaryota; Metazoa; Chordata; Mammalia; Perissodactyla; Equidae.
CUGUCGGCGGCAGGAUGGGCGCGCGGAGGGGAGGCGUCGUGCCGCCAACUCUGACUUGAUUUGCUUUAAGAGAUAAGUAACGCCAGCACGUGGCUUUAAGUCGGCCCCAGGUUUGCCAGUUCAGAUCCUGGGUGUGGACAUGGCAUGGCUUGGCAGGCCAUGCUGUGGCAGGCGUCCCACAUAUAAAGUAGACAAAGACAGGCACAGAUGUUAGCUCAGAGCCAGUCUUCCUCAGCAAAAAGAGGAAGAUUGGCAGCAGAUGUUAGCUCAGGGCUAAUCUUCCUCAAAAAAAAGAGAAACUCUCAAGUAUUUUUUUUUCUCCCCAAAGCCCCCGUACACAGUUGUAUAUCUUAGUUUUAAGCCCUUCUAUGUGGGACGCUGCCACAGCGUGGCUUGAUGAGCCAUGUGUAGGUCCACACCCAGGAUCUGAACUGGCAAACCCUGGGCUGCUGAAGCAGAGUGCACCAACUUAACCACUAAGCCACCAGGCCAGUCCCUGUUUUAUCUUUCUGAGUUCAUGUUUAUUUUUUUCUGAUUCCUUUUCAUAGAUAAUGUUCUUUCAUAAGUGCAGUUUUUUCUUAUUUUCCUUCCAUUAUACAGUUUUUAAAGCCUUUUUUCCGCUUCCUGCAUUGACUCCCUCACGCAGGUUCCUUUUCUCUGCUUGCUUUGGUGUGUCCGCUCCCUGCUGAAAGCUUUCCCGAAAUGUCUGCUGAGCCUUCUUUCUGUUCAAAUUUAAGAGUCAGAUGCUGCAGGAGACAGGAUCAAGCUCAGCUGAGAGUGUCAGAAAACCUCCAAGUAAAAGUGGCUUAGAGGCUGGCCCGGUGGCGUAGUGGUUAAGUUCAUGAGCUCUGCUUUGGCAGCCUGGGGUUCGUGGGUUCGGGUCCUGGGCCUGGACCUACACACGGCUCAUCAAGCUGCACUGUGGCUGCAUCCCACAUACAAAAUAGAGGAAGAUCGGCACAGAUGUUAGUUCAGCAACAAUCUUCCUCACGAAAAAACAAACAAAAAAACAAAGUUGCUUAGACAAGACAGAAGAUGGUUCCUCUCUUUAGUAGAGGUGGUCCAGGGCUCGUGUUAUGGGACCGUAGUCCUCAGGGACCCCGUCUUGUUCUCUGCUGCUCCACCUUCCUCAACAGGGGGCUCGCGUCUCAUGGGCCAAGAUGGCUGCCCAAGCUUGUGUGCCCACCAGCGGGAAGAAGAGCAAGGAGGGUGAACUCCACCAGCUGACAUCCCGUUGGCCAGAACUUGGCACACCCAGCUACAAGGAACGCUGGCUCUGUAGCUUUUACGAGAGACGUACCCAGGUCUGCUAGUGGUGGUGUUACUAAGAAAUAAGGGAAGAAGGUAUAUCGGGAACAACUGGCAGGGGCCGCCCUUAAGAGCUGGGUGGAAGCUGUGCAUUCCUGACUGGGCGGGGCGCCCAUGCCCUAGACCCCUCCAGAGUGGUCCUGGGCGAGCUGGUGAAGCCUCCACUGCCUGUAGCUGAGUAUCUUUCCUGUUUCUUCUGGGACCGUUCCAGCUCUCCCACAGGGUGCAAGCCUGGCAGGCUUCCGUCUGAAAGCAGAACCAGAAAAGGAGCUUUGGUGUUCCACCCCACGGGUGCAGAUUUCCAGUUACACUCCUUCUUUUCGGUCUCUUCCCUCUGUGAUUCUCUCAAGUUAAACCCUCAGCAGCAGCAGCAGCAGCAUCUUUUCAGUGCUGUGCAUUGGGCACUGUCCUAACUGCUUUACGUGUGUCUCCACUUGUGACCCCUGCUCAGCCUAGUGAGCCAGUGGUGUUGCAGGCUGCAGGAGUCUGGUGCAGGGUCCCCCUGGGACGGCUCACCGGCUGCACCUGGACUGACAACUGAGGCUGGGCGGGGAAAGCCCUGUGCACCGGCGAAGUUCACGCGCCCAGGGCGGGAGGCACCAGUCAGCCACACCCAGGCCAUACUCCCAGACCUCACCUGGAUGAGGGCACUGCCAUCUGCUCUGUGAAAAACAAUGAUGGGAAAUCUCGUUUAUAAUGGAGUCAGGAGGCCAGAGGGGAGCUCCCAGCAGUGCGGCUCCAGGCCAGUUACAGGAAAGACAGUGAAUUACAGAACCAACAGAAGCGUCAUCAGGAAAGAAUGUCGGUUACAGGAAGAAAUGUAUGUUGCAUCCCAAACAGAAAUCAACAACCCCAGCAACUCAGCCAAUGAGAAACCAUCACCGCCCUGAACUUUUCCUUUUUUCAAAGGACUUUUGUUCAAAACAACCCUCCCAAUUUCCUCCUUUUUCCCUAUAAAGUAACGAUCUGCUCCCUUGUUGGCUGGAUUUGCCUGUGGUUGGCCAUAGCAUGCACGUCCCGAAUUGAAAUUCUUUGGCUAUUCCUGAAUAAACUUGUUUUGC